Molecule: long non-coding RNA, 437 nt
Filed under: Salvia miltiorrhiza (redroot sage)
Lineage: Eukaryota; Viridiplantae; Streptophyta; Magnoliopsida; Lamiales; Lamiaceae
Description: long non-coding RNA (SMIL_LNC001676)
Source: RNAcentral
UUUGAAGAAUCGAUUCAUCUCUCUCGCUCUCCCUUUUUCGUCGCCUCUGGCGCAGUGAGGCGCUUCCUCUCUGAUUCGGCGGUGGAGAUGGCAGAUUCGGCUCUAAUUUGUUGAAGAAAUUUAGAAACGCAAAAUAUUAUUUUUCAUUGUUUUUGGGUUAUUUUUGUGGGUAUGAGAUUAUGUAGUGCUCGUAUUUUGAAUUACAUGUAGAUGGAAUUGGGGUUAUUGGUAUGCAUGUUUACUUUUUGAUUAAUGACUUGUUUGUGGGUUUGACAGCACAUGGAUCUUGAGACAGUGGAAAACAAUUUGACAGCACAUGGAUCUCUUGCUGCUCGUGAACAACGCCCUUGUGUUCUUCAGUAAGAACUCCUCGGAGGCCAGCGCGGCCGUGGAGAUCCGACGUCUCAUCUUCAAAGAGAUCUCUCAUAAAUAUGCCA